CCUACGGGUGGCAGCAGUAGGGAAUCUUUCACAAUGGGCGAAAGCCUGAUGGAGCAACGCCGCGUGCAGGAUGAAGGCCCUCGGGGUGUUAACUGCUUUUAUAAGCGAGAAAUAUGAUGGUAACUUAUGAAUAAGGAUUGGCUAACUACGUGCCAGCAGCCGCGGUCAUACGUAGGAUCCGAGCAUUAUCCGGAGUGACUGGGUGUAAGAGUUGCGUAGGUGGCAUAAUAAGUAGCUAGUGAAAUCUGGUGGCUCAACCAUUCAGACUAUUAGCUAAACUGUUAGGCUCGAGACCGUUAGGAGUAACUGGAAUGUCUAGUGUAGGAGUGAAAUCCGUAGAUAUUAGAAGGAACACCAAUAGCGUAGGCAGGUUGCUAAGACGGUUCUGACACUAAGGCACGAAAGCGUAGGGAGCAAACGGGAUUAGAUACCCUAGUAGUC
Molecule: ribosomal RNA, 441 nt
Filed under: uncultured bacterium
Lineage: Bacteria
Description: partial 16S ribosomal RNA
Rfam family: Bacterial small subunit ribosomal RNA
Source: RNAcentral